CCUACGGGUGGCUGCAGUGGGGAAUAUUGGACAAUGGGCGAAAGCCUGAUCCAGCCAUGCCGCGUGUGUGAAGAAGGCCUUCGGGUUGUAAAGCACUUUCAGUGGGGAAGAAAGCCUUGGGGCUAAUACCCUCGAGGAAGGACAUCACCCACAGAAGAAGCACCGGCUAACUCCGUGCCAGCAGCCGCGGUAAUACGGAGGGUGCGAGCGUUAAUCGGAAUGACUGGGCGUAAAGCGCGCGUAGGCGGUCUGAUAAGCCGGUUGUGAAAGCCCCGGGCUCAACCUGGGAACGGCAUCCGGAACUGUCAGGCUAGAGUACAGGAGAGGAAGGUAGAAUUCCCGGUGUAGCGGUGAAAUGCGUAGAGAUCGGGAGGAAUACCAGUGGCGAAGGCGGCCUUCUGGACUGACACUGACGCUGAGGUGCGAAAGCGUGGGUAGCAAACAGGAUUAGAUACCCCUGUAGUC
RNAcentral lists this ribosomal RNA (465 nucleotides) under Vreelandella stevensii. RNAcentral's name for it is "partial 16S ribosomal RNA". It matches the Rfam family "Bacterial small subunit ribosomal RNA", at positions 338 to 795 of the family's 1533-position model. The record is from RNAcentral. Lineage: Bacteria; Pseudomonadati; Pseudomonadota; Gammaproteobacteria; Oceanospirillales; Halomonadaceae.